Molecule: ribosomal RNA, 257 nt
Filed under: uncultured soil bacterium
Lineage: Bacteria
Description: partial 16S ribosomal RNA
Rfam family: Bacterial small subunit ribosomal RNA
Source: RNAcentral
AGAACGAACGCUGGCGGCAUGCCUAACACAUGCAAGUCGAACGAGACCUUCGGGUCUAGUGGCGCACGGGUGCGUAACGCGUGGGAAUCUGCCCUUGGGUUCGGGAUAACAGUUGGAAACGACUGCUAAUACCGGAUGAUGUCUUCGGACCUAAGAUUAUCGCCCAGGGAUGAGCCCGCGUAGGAUUAGCUUGUUGGUGAGGUAAGAGCUCACCAAGGCGACGAUCCUUAGCUGGUCUGAGAGGAUGAUCAGCCACA